UAAGGUUCCUUCUGGGUCUUGGACAAGGUCCAUGCCAGCAAGGGGCCCUGAAGCUUAAAUUUUAUUAAAUAGUUUUUACAUAGUAAAUCCACCUUUGUGUGCCUAGUAUAGGAACUCCCUGUCUCAUACUCUCCAAGGGGUGGGGCCCCUUCAUUCUUUUGCUAGGGUGAGGCAGGGACAGUCUCCCAGGGACACCGAAGUUGGAGAGGAGAUGGCGGGGCUCUAAACUUACUCAGAAACAGCUUUCAACCAGUUCUUCUGAUCCGAGAGCUCGGCUUCACCCCACUUCUGGAAGUACCCAGUGCCACCGAUUACUGACCCUUUGAGGAUUCUGUGAUGCUUCAUGCCCAGCGCAGAGCCUAACACGGGGCUUGAAUUCACAACCUUGAGAUCAAGACCUGAGCAAGAGUCGAUGCUUAACUGACUGAGCCACCCAGGAGCCCCUCAAAGGUAUUUCUAACUGCAAGUUGUGGUCAAAUAGUUUUGGAAGCCACUGUCCAAGUUAGCCCCCUGGCUCCAUUCUUCCUCUUGCCUGAAGUACAGACUGUUGCCAUAUUAAUCUGAUUAACUCACUGGUUUCCCCAUGCCACUUCCUUGCUCAAAACCUUCAAAUUUCAAAAGCUUAAGCUCAAUGUCAGUCCCUCAGCAUGGCACUCAGAGUACUGACAGUGGGGCCCCAACUGCCAUCAACGAAGCCUCUACCCAAAUCACUACUUGCUAAACCCAAGUUGGUCUCCUGACCGUCCACCCCAAAUACUCUUGAUGCAUUCCGUCUCCACACACCUUUUCCACACUAUUCUUCUAAUGUGGACCCCUCGCCCCCCACUGUAAAAAAUCACAUCCUCUGAAAUCUUUCUUGACAAUGCCACACCAACAUUUAUUGGCUGUCAUUCCUAUGAAUCCCGGGCACUUUCCAGACACUGGCUGAAGAUAAGUAUCGAUUCUCACAGCCUUCUGACUGUCUACCAGUAUUAAGUAUCAGCACAGGCCCUAGUACAUUAUAAAUGUUCAAUGAGCAUUAAAUCAACAAAAAUUUUAUUGAGCAUUAUCUGUGUGCAACAUGUUAUCCUGGGUCCUGUUUAAUGGGCUAGCUACCAAAAUAGUGGGUUCGGGGAAGCAACAGCUUAACUGCCAACUCCAAAGCCACUUCAACACACGUACAUCAAGAGUACACAGAAGAAAACAUCUUUGAUGAAGAAGCUGUGGGACUCAAGAUACUUGCCUCUUUCCAACUAUUCCCAAAUCUGGAAAGAGCCCCUUCCCCUCUCAUUACAAACAGCUGGAACAAGAGUGAAAUGUUUUACAUUUGUGCCCAAAGCAACGUCAAAUACAGGGUCUCACAGACUCUUCAAGGGGGUCCCUGCCUUCUGGGCAUGACCAUGCUCGGUAUAGAAGAAAAAAAACCUGGGGGGAGUCUGGCCUGUCCGAAGUGAGUGGGAGGGCCACCCAAGGCGGGGAGGCCUCAGAGUACCACAAAGCUGACAUGGUCCAGAACACCUGGAGGUCUGCAGGACACAGGACUUCCUCUUCACUUUACAUGUGAAAACUGACAACUUCCUGUAAUUCACUACCGACCUGGUAGUGUUCAUACAGACCAGCAAAGUAAAAUAGCGUCCUUUGGGACCCAAUCAGCUUGGGAAUGGUCUUCCACUUUUCAAGCACAGAGAAUACUCAGAUUUUAGUUCUAGCUCUCCCAGGUACUCCGUGAGUGAAUUCUAAUAACUUGUCAAAGGGAGAUAAUAAGACCCGAACUGCAUACUGCUAAGGGUAGAUGUGAGGACGAAAUCAGAUAAUGGAUGGGAAGGUAACUUGAAAAGGUAAAAGCACUAUACGAAUGCAUGAUAGCAAGAGUAAUACUAGAGGGAAAAGAGAUUCCACUGAGAACAUGUUUGAAACAGAAUGGAUGGUUCAGACUAACCCAGCAGUUUACCUUCUUUCCUUUAUAGUCCGUUAAUUUCAUUUAACAAUUACUGACUAGGUACUUACUAUGUGCAAACAGUGUGCAUACACAAACGUGAAGAACUUGUAGAUUCUGUCGCCACGGAGUCUGUGUGGGAGAGGAACACGUUUUUGGUCCCUGGAAGGACGUGGAAGUGCUACAGGAGUUCUAUGCAAGUUCGGAAGAGGAUAGUUUGGGGAGGGGGUGGAGAGGAGAGGGGAGAGAACAAUCAGAGACAGCCUCAGGGAGGCGCUGAGGCCACUUCUUCCCUCUUUGAUUUAACAACAGCACGCUUAGAGGCUCUUCAUUUGAGGAAGUGGCUUAUAGGUUCUGCACAUUUUUAUCUGAAAACUUUUCCUGAGCUGAGGCAAGCCAGGAAAUGGAAAAAAAAAGUGCUCAUUCAUACAUUCAGUAAACAUGCACUGAUUGCUGGGAAUACUACUAGGGAUAUAGUGAUGACCAAGCCACAGUCCCUUUCUCAGUAACUUGCAGACUAGGGGGUCACUGACAAGUAAACCAACGAUUCAAGUACAGAUACUAAUGAGGGUCAGAGCAAGGGGACCUGGCUCAGUUUAGAGGGGUGUGGGGGGCUGUUCAGGGGAGACCCUCAGAAGAGGCAAAGCCUGCCCUUAUUCUGGAAGAAUGAGUGCACCUUGGCCUGGUGGAUGAGGCGGCGAGGGGUGGGAGCAAAGGGCAUUGCAGCAGAGGAACAAUGCAUAUAGAGGGGCAGAGGCACGAGGGCCAGGGAAAGCUGAGACACAGGAGUAACGUGGACAGCCAGAUCCAGAAAGGCCUUAUAAGUUAUGGCCCAGAGUCAGGCCUUUAUCCUGAAGAUGAUGGGGAGGGCAUAUAGGGUGAGAACAUGCGGGGGGGCAGGUCCCAAGGAAUACCAAUAUUUAAGGGGCAGACAGAGGUAGAAGAGCCCAGAAGAGUCAGAAAACAAUCAUAUUUGCAUAGUCUCCAUUUUUUUCACAAUAGGCUUGGGUGGCAGCGUCAGCUUGGAUUAUCCAUUCCAUGUCAGAGGUGGAGAAAACAAGACCGAGGAAGGUCAAAUGCCUGACCAGGCCACACUGUGAAGGAGGGAACCAGAACCUGAACUCAGCCCUCUACCUCCCAGCCACAUUUAUCUGCACUGACUCUAAUUUCCUUCAUUCUGAGUCAAACCUCUGGAUCCCUAGUAUAGGAAGAUUUCCUCCAGGACUACUUUUUCCCUUGACAUUGAACCCAAAGAGCAUCAAGGCAUGUGGUUUCAGGGAAGGCUAUAACCCCUGAAGACAGCGAAGCCAGGUAAAUAAGCCAGAUUCUUCUUAAUUCUGUUGAAUUCUCCCUCCAUACAAUAAUAAAGACACACACACAUAAGAAGAGAGAGGAGACCAGCAGAAGGAGAGAAGAGGGAAGCACCUGACUUAAGCCCAAAUGGUGAAUCAGUGAUCUGACAUAUGAACAUAAAAUGCCUCCUUCCUCGCAGGGCACACCACUGGACAGCCUGGCUUAAAGACACGUGGGUGGUCGGUGGGUGAAUGCAUGGGUAGAUGAACAGGAAGGCAGCAGGUACCCACAAAACAAACGGGGUGGGCGGGCUGCAUGCACAGAGGAAGCGGGGAACAAAGACCUCUUACUCUUCAUGCAAAAUCCACAGUGUGCAAAGGGCAUCAAUAUUGGACAUUUCUCACUGUGACAUUUUGAAAGCCUGGCCUAGCCCAGAACAAUGGUUACCCUCUGGGGACCAGGGGCUGAGUGCCCCUAGGCCUUAUUCAAUGAUGGCUUGGCAUACCCCAUGUGCUUGGUGAACUCGACCUUGGGCAUCAGCCUCCCAUGAUGGCUCUACGUCACUCUGGUCUCUUCCCCCACUGAGAAUUCCAGUCUUGGAUGAAUGGAUGGAUUCAUUCUGGGAGCAGGAAAACCACUCCAGGAGUGAAUCAGAAGGACCCAGCCCUGGUCCCUUUGCCAGCCAUUGAGCCAGGAACUGAGUGUGAUUGUGUGCCCAGGCGCCGGUGCUGUUCCCCUCUCAGGGAGAUAGGGUCAGGGUCCACGUAAGAGAUGACGUAGUCGCCCUCUAAAGAAGAAGAAAAAGGAAUCUCAGCUUUGAGGGACAAAGCCGCCCUUUUGGUUCUGACCCUCAGUCCAAGGAGGUGCCAAGCUGCACAUGUACUAAUAAGUUAAUUCUACAGGAUAAAAGUCGCAGCUUUUGCUGAACAGUUAGUUGUCAAUUUCAAUUCUCUGCAGCCUGACAGACCUCAGGAAAUAGGCUACUACUUUUUCAGAAAAAAGCUUCUUCAUGAUGGGUGGGAACAGCACGCCUCAGAUCACCAAGAGAAUAUUCUACUCUGGUCUGGGCUCUGUUCUCCUCCCGAUUUGUGAAGAAAAGGUCAAUUUAUUUUUAAAUUUGUAAAUGCUAAUGUAAGCAAUAUAAAGCAUCUGAACUUCCUGCUUUCUUACCUUGAAAAAUUAAGCAAGAGAACUCCAACGAUUCAAGGUGCAGUAGGCAAGAGGACAUCUGUAUCACGAGGCUGGGAGACCCAGGCUGACAUUUUAAGGAAGUAAUUCCUCUAGGAAAGGGAACUGAAGGAUUGCCACUUUGCCCAUCGUUAACUAGGUUAUAACAAGAUGGGAAAGUUAGCUAACUUUCAAGGCUCUAGCCCCGUAUCGGCCUCCUGGAGCUAAGGUGGAGGGAAAAGGAACAGUUCCUACCGGGGCUUAUUAGGGCACUGCUCCAGGCUGCCCUCGUGUGCAGGCACCACCUGUCUAACGUUUGUCCAUCAAUCUUUGUCUAAGAAACAGGAGGGAGGAGGGGACAGAAAUGGUUUAAAUUUUGUAUUACAGAAUUGUCCUGAACACUGACUGACAUUAGCUGCUUGUCGCCAGAGCUUAGUCUCCACUAAUGGUCAAAUGUGAGCCUGUUAAGUGCCUUCCUGAAGGAUACUCUACUAUCUUCAUUCGUUCAUGACUAGUUAUCACACAUUUACUUUGUGUAAAGAAACAGCUAGACUAUGAGGACAGAGUGGCAAACAUGUUCCCGAUGCUAAUGGACCCUGGAUUCCAAAAGGUUUGAUUCAUCUUGUACAUCCCCGGGGGGGUGGGGUCAAUGUAUUCAGACAAGCAAACUACGGCUGGAUCCUCUGAGGUUUCGCAUUAUGGAUAUGCAGGUCCUUGGGCCUGAAGGUAAGGCCCUUUGGGCAAACUGAGUCUUACAAAAUAAAUCAACCAUUAAAUAUUCUGAAGUAUCUACCAUGAACCUAGCACAUAUAGCAACAUACCUUCCAACUCUGGAGUCGUGACUCUACAUCUCUGAGACUCCUAGCGUCUUUUCUCAUGGCCUGUUAGUCCCCAUAAUGUUUAAGCUUACCAACCGCUAUUUUCAAGAGAAAGCAGUGAGUGGGUAAUGGCCCUGGAAAUGAUUAAAACUAGUCCAAUCCCACACUGGGAGUGUGGGUGUGGGUGUUCAAUUCUGGACCUUUCCAAAAGAGAAGCAAGUUUUGUCCUUUGAAGACUGUUAAGUGGUGCAAAGGCUAGUCAUCUGAAAGCGAGUGGCUGUUUGAUCAGUGAACUGGGCCCAGACUGCCAGUGAGGGCUACAGCUCUGGGGCCGCGGGAGCGGUGAAAAGAUGCCCACAGGGAGAAAGAAGGCAUUUACUCCACCUCAGCGGAUAUUUACAAGAGGAGGAGACGGGAAAGUUCCUCACUUCAAGCAGCUGGGAGAAGACGGGACGAGCUUGGAGGAGAAAGAGUCAGGAAACAGACGCAGGAUUCCAGGCCAAGGAGAUCCCCCGCCCCAUAUCCCGGUGAGUCCUGCCGACAGACGGAGCCUCCGGGAAAGCACCGGAGGAAGGGCCCUCGAACGACCCUGGGUGGAGGGUCCGUGUGGGCAAGGCAGGCAGCGGGGGCGAAGGGACUCAGGUGGGCGCGGGCAAGGCGCACGGCGGGCCUGGGGCUCCAGCGGCUGUGCUGUCCCGGCCUCACUCACCAGCUCAUGGUCCUGAACCUGGCCCUGCUGCCGGGGUCCUCGGCCGCUACAGGGUCCUCAGGGAUCACUUCCGGAUUCAGCCAGUCUCCAGGAAGUGACGUGAACCCCGCCCACUGUGCCCGGAAGAGGCGGGGGUGGGCGGGGCGCGGGGAGUUAACCCUUCCGCGGCGGCGGGCGUCCCGCGCACUUGCCCGGCUCGCGACCUGGGGUAUUGCCUCACGGGGCUUGGGGUUCAGCCUGUGCCGGCGGCGUGGGAACCCCCGGGUGCGUUUUCUGCCUGAGACACUGGCUUGUAAAAUUCUCAUUCACUUACUACACGUGCCUCUUAACCUUGUUAUUGCCUCAGUUUUUCUGUCUGUAAAGAGAUUUCUAAUCCA
Molecule: long non-coding RNA, 6279 nt
Organism: Felis catus (domestic cat)
Lineage: Eukaryota; Metazoa; Chordata; Mammalia; Carnivora; Felidae
Exons: 2
Source: RefSeq, a predicted model, not a curated record